Molecule: long non-coding RNA, 448 nt
Filed under: Homo sapiens (human)
Lineage: Eukaryota; Metazoa; Chordata; Mammalia; Primates; Hominidae
Description: non-protein coding lnc-PPP2R3A-1:1
Source: RNAcentral
UCCAUCUCAGGGAGACCUGGCCUUCAGAGAUGACAGCAUUCAACCCCAAGAGGAGCCUGCUUUUCAUCCUCAGCCUUCCCAACCUGUGCCGCCCAUGGGGAUACAGGACAGUAACGAGCUAAACAAAACCUGCUGCCUGAAUGGGGGGAACUUGUAUGCUGGGGUCCUUUUGUGCCUGCUUCCCCUCCUUCUACAGACGGAAUUGUGAGCACCAUGUACGUAUGCAAAGAGAACUGUGGGUCUGUGCCCCGUGACACCCGGCUGCCCAAGAACUGUUCUAUGUGUAAAUGCUGGCAUGGCCAGCUCCGCUGCUUUCCUCAGGCAUUUCUACCUGGCUGUGAUGGCCUUGUGAUGGAUGAGCACCUCAUGGUUUCCAAUACUCCAGAACUACUACUGUCUGCAUGUACCACUCUUAUGCUUUAAAAUAAUGAAUACAUUUCCAUAAUGG